RNAcentral lists this long non-coding RNA (451 nucleotides) under Setaria viridis. RNAcentral's name for it is "long non-coding RNA (SVIR_LNC000489)". The record is from RNAcentral. Lineage: Eukaryota; Viridiplantae; Streptophyta; Magnoliopsida; Poales; Poaceae.
UCGGGGGCUUGUCGGCCAUACAUCUAUGGGCCCACCGGGAGGCAUGGACAGUCCUAGAUAUGGGGCUGUACACCGAGACAUGUCAGACAUGGAGACUACGAUGCAGGACGGCGUGGUCUACAUGGAGGAUAGGAACUAGUCGAGGAUGAGAAACUACUCGUAGCAAUUAGAGUAGGACUCUCUAGUCGAAUCCAACUAGUAUUCUUGUAAACAACCGACCUAUAGCCAUGCCUCCAGCAAUAUAAGGCGAUGCAGGGACCCCCUCCAAACAACAUCAAUCAAUACAAUCCAACCAACACAAAUGACGUAGGGUAUUACGCUACAUAAGUGGUCCGAACCUGUCUAAAUUGUGUGUUUGAGUUCACCUUUGAGUUCCUGAUCUUGGCGAGUCCCACGCAUAGAACACUACCUUGGGUACCCCCUCGGUAGGUUAUCGGGUUUAAACACCGAC